AGAACGAACGCUGGCGGCAUGCCUAAUACAUGCAAGUCGAACGAACACUUCGGUGUUAGUGGCGCACGGGUGCGUAACGCGUGGGAAUCUGCCCUUGGGUUCGGAAUAACAGUUGGAAACAACUGCUAAUACCGGAUGAUAUCGAAAGAUCAAAGAUUUAUCGCCCAGGGAUGAGCCCGCGUAGGAUUAGCUAGUUGGUGAGGUAAAGGCUCACCAAGGCGACGAUCCUUAGCUGGUCUGAGAGGAUGAUCAGCCACACUGGGACUGAGACACGGCCCAGACUCCUACGGGAGGCAGCAGUAGGGAAUAUUGGACAAUGGGCGCAAGCCUGAUCCAGCAAUGCCGCGUGAGUGAUGAAGGCCUUAGGGUUGUAAAGCUCUUUACCCGAGAUGAUAAUGACAGUAUCGGAGAAUAAGCCCCGGCUAACUCCGUGCCAGCAGCCCGAC
Molecule: ribosomal RNA, 446 nt
Filed under: uncultured soil bacterium
Lineage: Bacteria
Description: bacterial SSU rRNA
Rfam family: Bacterial small subunit ribosomal RNA
Source: RNAcentral